RNAcentral lists this unclassified non-coding RNA (336 nucleotides) under Hevea brasiliensis (rubber tree). The record is from RNAcentral. Lineage: Eukaryota; Viridiplantae; Streptophyta; Magnoliopsida; Malpighiales; Euphorbiaceae.
CGAACAGUAGACACAAAGUUGAUUAUUCCAUGUGUUGCUGUCCCCAAGAGUGGCAGCGUACAACACAAUUUCCUCCACCUGGAUUUCGUCGCAAUAAGGGGUAUUGUAGGAUACACUCUCAUCUUAAUCUUUACAAUUCGUACGGUUCUUGCCCCUCAAGUCCUCAACGGCAUGUUGAAUCUGAGAUUCCCAUAUAUUGUCGCGGAACUAAGUCUGCUGACCAGAGGCUUAGAAAUCAUGAGGUGGAGAGGUACUGGAGGGAGAAACAUUAUUUGGCUAAGCGACGCCUAAGACCCGUAGCAGGUGGAGCCCCUUUCAUAACUUGUUAUUGUUGCU